AGGCAGCGGCCCCGGGAAGGCCCGCAAGUUCCAAGAAAGCCACGUCCAGCGAGCCUCGCCCCGGUCACUUCUCAACAGGUGGGGGGUCGAUCCGGGGCUGGGACGUUCUCAGAGACGCGACGGACCGCCCGAGGUUUGGCAGGCCCCCCAAGCACUGGAUCCGAGGCUUCUCUGUCCUUGAAAUGAGAGGUUUGGACUAGACAAUCUGGAAGACUCUCUCGGAUUCUAAACCUAUGAUUGCAUUGACUUACACUGGAGAUGACCUGGUCAGUUGGGGAUGUUUGUACCUACACUGAUAAGAGAUGGAGGGGAUGGCUGCCCACCUGGUGUUCCUGCAGAAGCCUUCCCUAUGCCCCUCCUACCUUAAUUGGGGACUCUGAAGUUUCUCAAGUCACAUCUGAAGACCAAAUUGGUUCUUCCAGCUUCCCUUCCCCUGGACUUUCCAGAGAAAGGAAAACUUUGCUGAAGGUCAUAGAGCUAAGAAGAGGCAGAGCAGAGUUUCAAACCCAAGUCUCUUUCAGUGACUAUGUUUGGAUUCCUCUCCAUCAAGAUCCACCAAGAGAGCUUCUCAAUAAAACUAGGUGUUCAUAAGAAAGCUUGAAAUAGAGCCUGGGGCAAGGCCAUCCAAGGGAGGGGGGGUCCUGGGCCUGGACAAAAAGGCCGUCCCCCAGGACUGGACCGUGUCUGAUGCGGGAGUCUAACUCCAGGCAGCCAUCCCAGUCAAGGGAAGCAACUGAUUUCCUUGUGCAGAACACAAAGGCUGGAGUUUCUCUUCUUUCCAGGCGAAAAUGUGUCUCUGUGUGUAUUGAGGGUGGAGGGAAGAUUAGCAGGGCUAUGCUCCUUGAGCCCUAGCACCAAGGGAAGAUAUUGUUCCUGUUGGGAAGAUCCAGAGGAAGUACACACCCACACAUACACAUUUUCUCUCUCUCUCUCUCUCUCUCUCUCUCU
Molecule: long non-coding RNA, 948 nt
Organism: Sarcophilus harrisii (Tasmanian devil)
Lineage: Eukaryota; Metazoa; Chordata; Mammalia; Dasyuromorphia; Dasyuridae
Exons: 3
Source: RefSeq, a predicted model, not a curated record